AACGAGGCCGACCUGCGGCUGAGUUACCUGCGGAAGGAUCAUUAUCGUGGAGCUACGGCUCCAUUGAGGGAGAACCCUUGCCUUUUCGAGCACCUGUUUGUUUCCUCGGCGGGCCUGCCUGCCAAUGGGGACGCUUUUGAACUCUUGCAGUAACCUGGAACAAAAUUGUCUGAAUAAAAAAUCAAAAUCAAAACUUUCAGCAAUGGAUCU
RNAcentral lists this unclassified non-coding RNA (210 nucleotides) under soil metagenome. Its description in RNAcentral is "partial contains 5.8S ribosomal RNA, internal transcribed spacer 2, and large subunit ribosomal RNA". The record is from RNAcentral.